Non-coding RNA from Selaginella moellendorffii, 88 nucleotides. Lineage: Eukaryota; Viridiplantae; Streptophyta; Lycopodiopsida; Selaginellales; Selaginellaceae. The record is from Rfam.
GGGUCUUGGGAUACUUGGAGUUAAACGUCCUUGGGUUUGAAUAGUACUGGGUUGGGUGACCUCCCGAGAAGUUUAAAUUCAGGAGCUU